AGUUCGGAUUGGAGUCUGCAACCCGACUCCAUGAAGCUGGAUUCGCUAGUAAUCGCGCAUCAGCCACGGCGCGGUGAAUACGUUCCCGGGCCUUGUACACACCGCCCGUCAAGCCAUGGAAGCCGGGGGUGCCUGAAGUGCGUGACCGCAAGGAGCGCCCUAGGGUAAAACCGGUGACUGGGGCUAAGUCGUAACAAGGUACC
RNAcentral lists this ribosomal RNA (203 nucleotides) under uncultured bacterium. Its description in RNAcentral is "partial 16S ribosomal RNA". It matches the Rfam family "Bacterial small subunit ribosomal RNA", at positions 1290 to 1500 of the family's 1533-position model. The record is from RNAcentral.